This 766-nucleotide ribosomal RNA is filed under the name Triticum aestivum (bread wheat). Its description in RNAcentral is "partial small subunit ribosomal RNA". Lineage: Eukaryota; Viridiplantae; Streptophyta; Magnoliopsida; Poales; Poaceae. The record is from RNAcentral.
GUCUCUCGCUCGCGCCGUUGCAUCCUUGCUCCUGCGAGCCCCACCACUAGCCACGCGAGGAGCUGCAACCGGAGGGCGGAGGAGUUGCUACCGGCCACUCGGAGAGCUCGACCGGCGGGCAGAGGAGCUACAAGCCGGGAACAAAACCGACGACCGCCGUGCUGGAUUCAGCACGCCAGGGUGCUGCAACCGGCAGAUCAAAAAUAGCUGCAACUACCUUUUGUAUUUGCUGGGACCGGUGAGAAAUUUCGCUGCGACCAUCGACGGAGAGAGGGCAACCACCAUCAGAAGAUGCUUCAACCUCGGCGCGGCGGAGCUACAAGUGUAGGUCCGGGAGCUGCAACCAGCCAGACAAAUGAUGGAACCGGCGACGACCGUGUUGUGUCGGCGACGGCGGCGGUCCACCAUUGCUGGAACUAGCUACAUUUUUUGCUGGAACUACCAUUAUUUUUUGCUGGAACUGGAUUUUUUUGUUGCUACAAUCAACUAGUGUGUUUGCUGCUGAGUUUUUUUUUUGCUGGAACCAGCAUUUGUGUUUGCUGGAACUGGCUUUUUUGUUUGCUACAAUCAUCUUUCUCAGAUUUGUACUGCUGAGAUUAUUUUUGCUAGAAACGUCAUCAAUUUUUGGUACCAUCGUAUUCUUGUUUUGCUGGAAUCAUCAUUUUUUUUCAAGGAUCCAACUUGAUGGUGAUGCGGGUAGUUUAUUAUUAUUUUUUUGAACUUUGACGGCGAGCGUCGACGGGGAGCACGGCAGCAACCCGUUGAC